GCAGGAGGAGGAGGAAGAAGAGAGACUUGCAGAGAUUAGGGUGGCAGCCAGAUUUAGGGACCCUCCCGGUGUUUCCAAACACCUUUCUUCCGCAGGCGUUCCAGGGGGGAGGGCUGGGCUGGGCUGGGCUGGGCAGGUGAGUCAGCCGGAGGCUCCCGUCUGCCAGAAGAGGGGCCGUGUCCCUUUAAAGACAUGUGAUACUUUCCCCCCAGCCGGGGGAUGCAUUGAAAUAGACUCUUCGGUACUUACACCGCGCUGUAUAGGCGAUCUGCGCUUUUCCUACGUACAUCUGCUCUUACUCCGCUCGGAGUGCAUUGGAGAGAGAGAGAUACAUAUAUAUAGGAAAGGGGAGAGAGGGUGGAGGUAAAAAAAGGAGAGAGAGGGGUGGGCUGGUGUGUCAUUAAACAUCCACCGAUCCUCCUCUCUAAGUGCCCUGGAAGCCUGCGAAUUAUCUCAAGAUCACUUGAAAGGUCUCAUCGAGCAGAAGGUGUCGCUCCGAGAUGAUUUAAAGGUGAAAAUGACAGGCUUUCCACCUCUCAAAGCUUGGCUACUUUUCUGACAGCCUGGGAGACAGAGAGAGAGAGAGAGAGACAGGGAGAGAGCGAGAGAGCCUAGAUGUCUUCCUUACUCUUGGAAUAGGAUUGCCAACGAGGACACCGAGACACAAACCAAUCCCCGGUUUCGUUUUCGUGCGUCCUCAAGAAAGGCUGCUGUCGAAGAUUGCCGGGCGAAACUGCACGAUCCCGUGUUGUGGUGCAGAUGGAUUUUUUUGGGGAAAGUGUCCAGUCUUUCCAAUGAACGCGAACCGGGCACUGUGUUUUGGGUUGGAAUCCUCAGAGAACGGCCAUGGUCUCUGCAAUGUCCUGGGUCCUGUAUUUGUGGAUAAGUGCCUGUGCCAUGCUGCUCUGUCAGGGCUCACUUCACCACACCUUCCAGCAGCAUCCUCUGCACAGACCAGGUAGGACCAGUUACAAGGAUGCUGCUCUGUGCAGCCUCAUGUGUGAGCCUAUACUGUAUAUUGAUGCAAUGGGGAUUAAUCUGUUC
RNAcentral lists this long non-coding RNA (1044 nucleotides) under Podarcis muralis (Common wall lizard). RNAcentral's name for it is "lncRNA (ENSPMRG00000015508.1)". The record is from RNAcentral. Lineage: Eukaryota; Metazoa; Chordata; Lepidosauria; Squamata; Lacertidae.